UGUAGGAGCGAGCUUGCUCGCGAUAGCGGUAUGACAGUCGACAUCGAAGUCGCCUGUUCCACCGUCAUCGCGAGCAAGCUCGCUCCCACA
This 90-nucleotide unclassified non-coding RNA is filed under the name Pseudomonas prosekii. The record is from RNAcentral. Lineage: Bacteria; Pseudomonadati; Pseudomonadota; Gammaproteobacteria; Pseudomonadales; Pseudomonadaceae.